UUUUAUCCGUACCCUUUGAUGCUACAAAUUUGACAUUACUGUUUUUCUUCUGAUAACGAGCUCCUUUUGUUUCAAAUUUUGAUUUAGAAACGUUAGGCCUUUGAGCUCGUUGAACUGGUUGAUCUACAUGGAUACCUUCUUUGCCCUUAGCAGCAAUAGGUUGUUGUUUUGUCGGUGAUUUUUGAUUUCUGAAUUGUUUCCUGAUUUCAGCUUUUGGAAUUGGAUCACAUUGUGUUACCACAACUCCGGGGAUGGUCUUUCCCAAAAAUUUAUUCGUGUUGUCUUCAAAAACUUUAUCAAUCAAAGAUGGAUUGACAUUCUUAAUUGGAAAAUCAUUGUCCGAAUAAAUUUUAGCAUCACCGACCAAAGUAUACAACACGUUAUUGCUCUUAACAGCAAACACACAUUCUUUGUCAUCCUUGACAUUCUUGACAGGAUCUAUCACUUGCUUGGCAACAGGUUGCACAGUAGGAGUAGGAGGAUCACACAGAAUAUGAUUCUCAACUAGAAUUUCUACUCCUUUCGUCUCAU
Molecule: long non-coding RNA, 531 nt
Filed under: Helianthus annuus (common sunflower)
Lineage: Eukaryota; Viridiplantae; Streptophyta; Magnoliopsida; Asterales; Asteraceae
Description: sRNA HanXRQr2_Chr14g0649621
Source: RNAcentral